GAUGAAGAACGUAGCAAAAUGCGAUAAGUAAUGUGAAUUGCAGAAUUCAGUGAAUCAUCGAAUCUUUGAACGCACAUUGCGCCCGCUGGUAUUCCGGCGGGCAUGCCUGUUCGAGCGUCAUUUCAACCCUCAAGCCCCCGGGUUUGGUGUUGGGGAUCGGCUCUGCCCUUCUGGGCGGUGCCGCCCCCGAAAUACAUUGGCGGUCUCGCUGCAGCCUCCAUUGCGUAGUAGCUAACACCUCGCAACUGGAACGCGGCGCGGCCAUGCCGUAAAACCCCAACUUCUGAAUGUUGAACUCGCAUCAGGUAGGAAUACCCGCUGAACUUAAGCAUAUCAAUAAGCGGAGGG
Molecule: unclassified non-coding RNA, 348 nt
Filed under: soil metagenome
Description: partial contains 5.8S ribosomal RNA, internal transcribed spacer 2, and large subunit ribosomal RNA
Rfam family: 5.8S ribosomal RNA (bases 1-120)
Source: RNAcentral